Haliotis rubra (blacklip abalone) is the source of this 282-nucleotide long non-coding RNA. RefSeq lists it as uncharacterized. Lineage: Eukaryota; Metazoa; Mollusca; Gastropoda; Lepetellida; Haliotidae. The record is from RefSeq and is a predicted model, not a curated record. The transcript has 2 exons.
GUGCACGUGCAAGUAUCUCUACCCGGUCAUGGUCUUUGUUGUCAACAAAGUCGAAUUUCACACUGGUCAAACAGUUCUGGUCACCUUGGUUGUAACCUGCGUCAUACAUGGAGUAUUUAUUAGCAUGAUGUUCCUGAAAAUAGGAGAACCUUCUGGUGAUAUACCAACACCAUACCGAGUCCAUUAGUGCCACCAAAGCGGCAAGAAGACCUGCAUGACUACGGGAUUUAUCCGACAUAAAACAGACACGUGAUAUAACUGAAGUCUCUCUCAGUGUACCGG